CGGCUUUUUUGUGCUGCACAAUCACUGUAUACACUGCUGAUUGCGCUGCUCCAACGAAACUCAUCCAAGUUGUCAGCGACAACUGUGCUGGAUAUCUUCUCAAUGCCAAAGCCUGCAGAUUUCGAGGAAGUCGAGAAAUACAUGGGAAGGAACUACGAGUCCAGAAGCACAUUGAAAUUUUGUGAAUAUCUAACGUACCUUUCGAGGAAGUAUGCAAAAGGCAGAAACGCCAAACCAGAAACGAUAUGUCGGUAAGUAACAUAGACGUGAGGGUUCAUGCCAUGAUUGAACGAAGCCUGCGUUAUGAAGUAGAGGAAAGUGUAGGCAAGCUGAGCCAAAACCAUGAGAAUGUGAGGCUUAAACUGCUGAAACUUUCCGAGAAUUCUGCCUCUGAUCGCCUUCAUCGCCAUUGCAAAUCUGCUGGUUUCUUUUGGGUAAUCUGAAAUCUUAAUGAGGCCUGUUUUUGUUGAUAGUCUUGACAGUUCUGCAUGAAUGCAGGAUCAGAAUCAAGAAUGGAGGAAAA
Ipomoea triloba (trilobed morning glory) is the source of this 523-nucleotide long non-coding RNA. RefSeq lists it as uncharacterized. Lineage: Eukaryota; Viridiplantae; Streptophyta; Magnoliopsida; Solanales; Convolvulaceae. The transcript is spliced from 2 exons. The record is from RefSeq and is a predicted model, not a curated record.